Molecule: long non-coding RNA, 1664 nt
Filed under: Hordeum vulgare
Lineage: Eukaryota; Viridiplantae; Streptophyta; Magnoliopsida; Poales; Poaceae
Description: long non-coding RNA (HVUL_LNC007514)
Source: RNAcentral
GUCCAAGAUAAAAAAAUAACUCUGUUGUUGGUUGUAACCGGGCCAGAUGUCCUGGGGCAGCUAUUCCGACGGACGAAUCAGAGGCAUUUGGCUCAUUGACAUCGAUUAAUGUCUGAUGCCAAGCGAACGAUCUUGAUUAUCUCGUUCGCGUCCUCGUAGCCCCAACUACUCUCCUUCCCUUGCCUGAGACCCGCACCCAACCAUCUCCCCAACCCUGAUCCCUCCUACCUUGGCUAGGACAAACCAUGCGCCGCCGCUCACAAUCACCACAGGAGAAAGCCCACCGAAUCGCCACCCCACCGGAAAAGCUAGAUCGACCGGUCGUUGCCGCAUCGAGGAAUCUGUGAUGUCGUUGCGCAGGUCAUUUAUGUCCCGGUUCCGGUCAUUGCCACAUCGAGGACUCCGCACCGCCAAUGUGGAGCUCGCUUCUGUCUUGAUUCCGAUCGUUGCCGCAUCGAGGACUCCACGCUGCCGUUGCGGAGGUUGCUUUUGUCCCGGUUCUGGUCAUUGUCGCAUCCAGGACUCCGCGUCGCCGCUGCGGAGGUAGCUGUUGUCCCACUUCCAGUCCUUUCCGCAUCAGGGACUCCGCACAUAUGUUUCUGAGGUCGUUGCAAUCUCGAUUCUAGGAGUGUCGCAUCGAGGACUCCACGCCAUUUCUGUGUAUGUCGUUGUUGUCCUAAUUCCGGGAGCGAUGUGCCCUUGUUUUCAGCGAAGUAACCGCAACAGUGAGCCUCCCAGCACCCGUGCCUCUUUCGACUCGUCGACUCCUCGGCAACAAAUAUGCCUUGUACGUGUCUCAUGUGUACCCAUUAACUAAUUCCCCUCCCCUCGUUCAUUUCUUGGGCUUGUUCUUUUGACACUAAUGGUGUGUUCAGCACAUGGAGCUCGUGUUGUAAAAUGAAAGGUAGAGAGAACCGAGACGAUGAAGGCCGACGCCCAGCUCGAGCAAGAAGUCAGCUCUACUAUUCUAUUUGUCAUUUUAAGAGAUGGUCCAUAUCUUGGAAACUGGAAAGAGACCCAUUACUGAAUGAUAAAUCAACAAUUCUGGUUUCCAUGGUACAGUACAUUAUUUCUAUGUAUUUUCAGCAUGACAUUAGAUGCUUUUUCUAACGAAUCACUCCUUGCUAAGGAUUGUAGGGAUUUUAUUAACAAAUCACCAUUCCAGCUUAUAAAAUUAGAAUGAUUUGAUCUUGGCAAUGGCUAGGAUAGUCAACUGGUCGCUUCUAGAGAAAGAUGAAGAGGCUCGAUGCAGCGCUGCGGGCGGGGAUGGCUUGAUGCAGCCAAGGGAUCCUUCCAUAGGAAUACACACGGUCUCCGACAGCCACGGCAACGGCAAACCAGAGCGGAUCGCCAAGGGCCCUUCCUAGAGGAAUGCACACGUUGUCUGGCAGCCAUGGGUGAUGCGUAGGUCGCUAAUUCGUCUUUCCCGUUCAUCCUGUCGUUUCUCUUUCAUACCCCUCCUCUUCCCCUACUUAUCCAUCUAAUGUAGAAUAUUGAUUGUUUUCAUACUAUACUUUGUACUCACAACCGAAUGUGGGUUCUCCGUAGACCCAUAAAAGGUUCAAACUCUGGGGUGCGCUCGCUCUCCUAUCCUGUUCUACCUCUCAACUUCAUUGUGACUCUCCGAUGGCUCGAGCUAAGGAAAGCAAACAAGAACACACGAG